GACUCGUCACACUAUCAUUAACUGAAUCCAUAGGUUAAUGAGGCGAACCGGGGGAACUGAAACAUCUAAGUACCCCGAGGAAAAGAAAUCAACCGAGAUUCCCCCAGUAGCGGCGAGCGAACGGGGAGGAGCCCAGAGCCUGAAUCAGCAUGUGUGUUAGUGGAAGCGUCUGGAAAGGCGCGCGAUACAGGGUGACAGCCCCGUACACAAAAGCGCAUGUGCUGUGAGCUCGAUGAGUAGGGCGGGACACGUGGUAUCCUGUCUGAAUAUGGGGGGACCAUCCUCCAAGGCUAAAUACUCCUGACUGACCGAUAGUGAACCAGUACCGUGAGGGAAAGGCGAAAAGAACCCCGGCGAGGGGAGUGAAAAAGAACCUGAAACCGUGUACGUACAAGCAGUGGGAGCACCCUUUGGGGUGUGACUGCGUACCUUUUGUAUAAUGGGUCAGCGACUUAUAUUCUGUAGCAAGGUUAACCGUAUAGGGGAGCCGGAGGGAAACCGAGUCUUAACCGGGCGUUAAGUUGCAGGGUAUAGACCCGAAACCCGGUGAUCUAGCCAUGGGCAGGUUGAAGGUUGGGUAACACUAACUGGAGGACCGAACCGACUAAUGUUGAAAAAUUAGCGGAUGACCUGUGGCUGGGGGUGAAAGGCCAAUCAAACCGGGAGAUAGCUGGUUCUCCCCGAAAGCUAUUUAGGUAGCGCCUCGUGAAUUCAUCUCCGGGGGUAGAGCACUGUUUCGGCUAGGGGGCCAUCCCGGCUUACCAACCCGAUGCAAACUGCGAAUACCGGAGAAUGUUAUCACGGGAGACACACGGCGGGUGCUAACGUCCGUCGUGAAGAGGGAAACAACCCAGACCGCCAGCUAAGGUCCCAAAGUCAUGGUUAAGUGGGAAACGAUGUGGGAAGGCCCAGACAGCCAGGAUGUUGGCUUAGAAGCAGCCAUCAUUUAAAGAAAGCGUAAUAGCUCACUGGUCGAGUCGGCCUGCGCGGAAGAUGUAACGGGGCUAAACCAUGCACCGAAGCUGCGGCAGC
Molecule: ribosomal RNA, 1032 nt
Filed under: Salmonella enterica subsp. enterica serovar Kaolack
Lineage: Bacteria; Pseudomonadati; Pseudomonadota; Gammaproteobacteria; Enterobacterales; Enterobacteriaceae
Description: partial 23S ribosomal RNA
Rfam family: Bacterial large subunit ribosomal RNA
Source: RNAcentral